CACCAAGUCCGAGGUUCCGGCACUCACCGGGGCCUGGUGCAAAAGGGA
Streptomyces sp. WAC00263 is the source of this 48-nucleotide non-coding RNA. The record is from Rfam. Lineage: Bacteria; Bacillati; Actinomycetota; Actinomycetes; Kitasatosporales; Streptomycetaceae.